Molecule: transfer RNA, 83 nt
Filed under: Euglena longa
Lineage: Eukaryota; Euglenozoa; Euglenophyceae; Euglenales; Euglenaceae
Description: transfer RNA-Tyr (GUA)
Rfam family: tRNA
About the family: Transfer RNA (tRNA) molecules are approximately 80 nucleotides in length.
Source: RNAcentral
GAGUCGUUUUCCGAGUGGCUAAAGGAGGUGGACUGUAAAUUCACUAGUAAAAACUUUCGCUGGUUCAAAUCCAGCACGACUCA